This 359-nucleotide ribosomal RNA is filed under the name uncultured bacterium. Its description in RNAcentral is "partial 16S ribosomal RNA". It matches the Rfam family "Bacterial small subunit ribosomal RNA", at positions 573 to 933 of the family's 1533-position model. The record is from RNAcentral.
UAGUGCCAAUNAGUCAAAUGNGAAUNCCCGAGCUUAACUUGGAANUGCAUUCGAUACUNGUUGGCUAGAGUAUGGGAGAGGAUGGUAGAAUUNCCANGUGUAGCNGUGNAAAUGCGUAGAGAUNUNGAGGAAUACCGAUGGCGAAGGCAGCCAUCUGGCCUAAUACUGACACUGAGGUGCGAAAGCAUGGGGAGCAAACAGGAUUAGAUACCCUGGUAGUCCAUGCCGUAAACGAUGUCUACUAGCCGUUGGGGCCUUUGAGGCUUUAGUGGCGCAGCUAACGCGAUAAGUAGACCGCCUGGGGAGUACGGUCGCAAGACUAAAACUCAAAUGAAUUGACGGGGGCCCGCACAAGCGGU